CAAAGCAGAGCUUGUACCUGUUGCUUUUUAUAUAAGGAAGUCUGAGCCUGAUGCCAGAAGGUAGAAACUGGAACUCAGCAUGUAAAGGAUAAGAAGUAUCAGCAAUAAUGGCUUUAGUUUUCCUAGUGAUUUGUUUUUUACACAGUUCUGUAAGUGAGCAUUGUUCAACCCCUAAGAUUUUAUUGCUAGUAUGUAUUACUCGAAGGGCAUUUUUUGGUCUAAUACUAAGAUUUCCAAACCAACAGUGGAGGGAAAAGGUCAACACAGAUUCAAUAUAUGAUCUAUAAAAUAGGAUCAUCAAUGACUUAUCAACUUGAAACUUUGCGAGCCUCCUUAGACAAAAUAAUCUUUGCUGGCCCCUUUUUUUCCCAAGAUUUUUGUGCAGGUUUU
This is a long non-coding RNA of Xiphophorus couchianus (Monterrey platyfish), 390 nucleotides long. RefSeq lists it as uncharacterized. The transcript has 3 exons. The record is from RefSeq and is a predicted model, not a curated record. NCBI's taxonomy places the organism in Eukaryota, Metazoa, Chordata, Actinopteri, Cyprinodontiformes, Poeciliidae.